Molecule: unclassified non-coding RNA, 237 nt
Filed under: Hevea brasiliensis (rubber tree)
Lineage: Eukaryota; Viridiplantae; Streptophyta; Magnoliopsida; Malpighiales; Euphorbiaceae
Source: RNAcentral
AAGACGUUGAAUAUAGGGGAUUUGGUAUGCCUAAGUGUAGUCCAAAUAUCAAUCACUUGUCAUAUGCCGACAAUACUAUUUUGUUUUGUUCGGGAGAGAAAAAAUUGAUCAAGAAGAUGAUGGGUGUAUUGGCCAAAUAUGAACAGAUUUCUGGACAAAUGAUAAACAAGAGCAAGUGUUUUUUCUAUCUACACGAAAAAAUUUCAGCGGUGCAAGGACAUAAAAUCAGAAAAUGGA